Molecule: transfer RNA, 65 nt
Filed under: Pseudotrapelus sinaitus (Sinai agama)
Lineage: Eukaryota; Metazoa; Chordata; Lepidosauria; Squamata; Agamidae
Description: tRNA-Ile
Source: RNAcentral
AGAAGUGUGCCCGAGAGUCAGGGGAUAUUUUGAUGGAAUAGACACAGAGACGCCCUCUCACUUCU